Long non-coding RNA from Phacochoerus africanus (Common warthog), 1116 nucleotides. RefSeq lists it as uncharacterized. The record is from RefSeq and is a predicted model, not a curated record. NCBI's taxonomy places the organism in Eukaryota, Metazoa, Chordata, Mammalia, Artiodactyla, Suidae. The transcript has 2 exons.
CCGCCCAGCUCAGGGGAGGAGGGGACAGGGGAUCGCGGAUGGAAGGGCCGCGGGCGGCCAGGGAGGGCGGAGGGAAGCCGAGGAGGAGGGCGGCGGGCGGUUUUAUUGUUUCCUUUCGCCCUCCUCCUCCCGCGCUUGGCCCCGGCGUCACUGGAAAGCCGCCAGAGCAGCCCGGCGGCGGGUUAUUUAUAGCGCGGGCUGCGCGCGCGUCACGGAGCCCGGCCCGGCUGACGGGGCCGCUGACGCGCUUGGCCGCGGGGCCGAGUCCGCGGGGUUGCGCGCCGGGCGCCGGCGACAAUGGGCUUCUGUGUGUGCAGCUGCCGCCGCCGCUGGGGGCCGGGGGAGGGGGGCGGGCUGCCGCUCUCUGACCACCCUCCCUCUCGCCUGCGACCCCCAGAAAGGUAACCGGCCUCCUCUGACCCUGGCCGGGGCCCGCCAGCUGCAGGUUUUUUUUCUUUUAAGAUUUUAUCAGUAACUUCCCCCUGCCCCCACCUCCGCUCCCUCCUCCCCUGUACCCCCUUCUUGCCACCCAACAUGAGGAGAGAGGGGGAUUUAGCCGGCCGGGGGCGACUACUUUCUGCGUCCCGGGGAGCGGGACCCGCUCACGGCGCGCCCAGCGGGGAAUGCGGUGACCGAGGGGCCGGGAGCGCCGGGCAGGAAGCCAACCUGGGUGUGUAAGCGCGAAGAGCGAAAGAGAAACUUCUGCGUGACUAGCUGAGGCGCCACCGGAGAGGCCGAGAUAUUACAGGACCCCCGCCCCGCUCCCGCGCGCCCUCCCCCCUCCCGUCGCCCCUCCCUCGUCUGCUCCCACCCCUUGCCUCUCUCCCGAAGCUUGGGACUUUGGAGUCCUCCCCUCUACCCCCUCCCCGCGGGUUCGGUCCUCGCACGCCCCCGCCCCACGGAAGGAGGGGCUGGCGAGAAUUUUAGGGACUUCCUGGGAUGCGGAGACCUGCUUGAACCGUCCCCCUUCAGCGGCCGGGAGCUGGGAGAGCUUGCUUGGGAGCCUCUCGCACGUGGCAGGCAGGCAGAGAACUUGCUGUGCCUUCUAGGAAAUUGCAAUCGAUUUGUAAUGCAGUUUCGCUAAUUGGGAGUUCAAAAUUAAACUUUAAUAAAGCA